ACACAAUCCGAAGCCCCUGGGUCUGUGCAGUGACCAGCCAGUCCCCUGAGAACUUUCCCCUCCAGCACCCGGGAAAAUGGGAUUUUUGAUUCUUGUAAUUUUCGCUCUAGCAGCUUUGGAAGGUGUCCGGUCCCAGGUACAGCUGGUGGAGUCCGGAGGGGAUGUGAAAAAGCCCGGAGACUCUCUCCGCCUCUCCUGCAAAGCCUCUGGCUUCACCUUCACCGACUACGGGAUGAGCUGGGUCCGACAGGCUCCCGGGAAGGGGCUGGAGUGGGUCGCUACAGUCAGUCAGCCAAGUGGAUCCAGCCAGUGGUAUUCCCCGGCCGUUCAAGGCCGAUUCACCAUCUCCCGGGACAACUCCGUCAGCUCGGCUUAUCUACAAAUGACCGGCCUCAAAGCCGAGGACACUGGCCGCUAUUACUGUGCUAGAGACACGGUGGCACAAAGCUUAGUAGCGCUGAUGCAAAAACCCAGACUGCACCAUCUCCCCCGAGCCGCGUGA
Molecule: non-coding RNA, 502 nt
Organism: Mauremys reevesii (Reeves's turtle)
Lineage: Eukaryota; Metazoa; Chordata; Testudines; Geoemydidae
Source: the annotation of a RefSeq genome assembly